GACAGACAGUGCGGGCGUUAUUCGGAAUGACUGGGCGUAAAGGGUACGUAGGUUGCUUAAAUAACUAUGUUUGAAAAGCUAGAGGAUAACUGUAGAUAAAAGCAUAUCGAUUUUUAGGCUCUGAGUUAUGGAGAGGUUGGAAGAACUUUUAGUGUAAGGGUAAAAUCUAUCAAGAUUAGAAGGAAUUCCAAGGGCGAAAGCAUCCUUUCAGCUGUAACUGACGCUGAGGUACGAAGGCAUAGGUAGCAAACAGG
This 254-nucleotide ribosomal RNA is filed under the name uncultured bacterium. RNAcentral describes it as "partial 16S ribosomal RNA". It matches the Rfam family "Bacterial small subunit ribosomal RNA", at positions 524 to 776 of the family's 1533-position model. The record is from RNAcentral.